Long non-coding RNA from Sorghum bicolor (sorghum), 738 nucleotides. RefSeq lists it as uncharacterized. The record is from RefSeq and is a predicted model, not a curated record. NCBI's taxonomy places the organism in Eukaryota, Viridiplantae, Streptophyta, Magnoliopsida, Poales, Poaceae. The transcript has 2 exons.
UCCAUCUGAUCCAUGGAAUCACAUAUUCACAGAGCAAACUAGCUCAUCGGCCUUAUCAUAUCCUUUUUUGGUGGAUAUUAGCAUCAAUUCAGAUCAGCGCUUCCUCCCCACAUCCUACAGGUGUGCGCCUCCCAAGGCUCAAGCGCCUCACCGUGGUGGUUGCGCACCAUGCCAUUAGUGCUAUGAGGACAUCACUUGUUUGGAUGCACCCACCGCUAUACAUGGACCAAUGACUAAAGCUUGAAGGAGGCAAUUAAACCUAAAGAAAAUUGAAGAGGGUCAUGAAGAGCUUGGAGAAAGGCAUGAAGGUGAAGAAGGCUAAUAACAUCCAAGUCAGGAGGGAAGUCUAGCUCAACCUAAGUUCAGAUUGGAGAAAGGUAUUAAGGUGAAGAAGUCUGCUAGGGCGUCAUGCAUAGUCAAGAGGAAGGUCUAGCUCAACAUGAGUUCUAGUCCAGCUCAGCCUCGAGGAAUAGCCAAAACUAAAACAGAUGCCCAGGAUGCAUACGAACUUGGUUUUUGACAUUCUACCUAUGGAUGGAAUGAUAAUUUCAUAAGAUAAGCAAUGGCAUUGGUCUUAAAUCAAAAUUCUCCAAAGUCAAUGGAUUAAACUUUGAAACAAGUCAGUAUUUAGAAUCUGUCAGGGUGCUGCGACACCGUCUUUUGGACUGUUGGGCCCUGUAUUGUCUUAGAGCUUAAUUAUUAGGGAGCACAUCCCGUGGGUAUGCACAUCCCCAAAGA